Molecule: ribosomal RNA, 434 nt
Filed under: Pseudanthias squamipinnis (sea goldie)
Lineage: Eukaryota; Metazoa; Chordata; Actinopteri; Perciformes; Anthiadidae
Description: partial 16S ribosomal RNA
Source: RNAcentral
AGACGCUUACCAAACUGUAAAAUCUCCGCUGAGAACAUUAACUUUGGCAUAUAGUAGAACACAGAGAUUACAUCUUGCUAUAAGCAAGGAGAUGUCCGUGCAAACCGGGCUGUGCCACCUUGAAAGAUAAAAAUUUAACAAAAACCAAAAUGUCCUAUAGAAACAGGAACUAGUCCGUGCAAUUCGGUCUAAUCUUAUACCAAUCAGCUAGCCCACCCCUAAAAAUCAAACAAUCACCAUGCAUACCCCCUAAUAUACUGACUCUUUACAAAUUGAACAAACCAUUUUUCCCCUUUAGUAUGGGCGACAGAAAAAGGCCUAAGGCGCUAUAGAAAAAGUACCGUAAGGGAACGCUGAAAGAGAAAUGAAACAGCCCAGUAAAGUUCUAAUAACAAAGUUAACUACCUCUCUUUUUUUUGUGAGAGAGAGGAAAA